Molecule: ribosomal RNA, 465 nt
Filed under: uncultured bacterium
Lineage: Bacteria
Description: partial 16S ribosomal RNA
Rfam family: Bacterial small subunit ribosomal RNA
Source: RNAcentral
CCUACGGGAGGCAGCAGUAGGGAAUCUUCCACAAUGGGCGAAAGCCUGAUGGAGCAACGCCGCGUGGGUGAAGAAGGUCUUCGGAUCGUAAAACCCUGUUGUUAGAGAAGAAAGUGCGUGCGAGUAACUGUUCACGCUUCGUCGGUAUCUAACAAGAAAGCCACGGCUAACUACGUGCCAGCAGAUGAGGUAAUACGUAGGUGGCAAGCGUUAUCCGGAUUUGUUGGGCGUAAUGGGAACGGAGGCGGUCUUUUAAGUCUGAUGUGAAAGCCUUCGGCUUAACCGGGGUAGUGCAUUGGAAACUGGGAGACUUGAGUGCAGAAGAGGAAAGUGGAACUCCAUGUGUAGCGGUGAAAUGCGUAGAUAUAUGGAAGAACACCAGUGGCGAAGGCGGCUCUCGGGUCUGUAACUGACGCUGAGGUUCGAAAGCGUGGGUAGCAAACAGGAUUAGAUACCCGGGUAGUC